GGUGAGUAACGCGUAGGAAUCUACCAAGUAGUGGGGGAUAAGCCAGAGAAAUUUGGUCUAAUACCGCAUACGUUCUUCGGAAGAAAGGAGGGGAUCUUCGGACCUUUCGCUAUUUGAUGAGCCUGCGUGAGAUUAGCUUGUUGGUGAGGUAAUGGCUCACCAAGGCGACGAUCUCUAGCUGGUCUGAGAGGAUGAUCAGCCACACUGGAACUGAGACACGGUCCAGACUCCUACGGGAGGCAGCAGUGGGGAAUAUUGCACAAUGGGCGAAAGCCUGAUGCAGCCAUGCCGCGUGUGUGAAGAAGGCCCUAGGGUUGUAAAGCACUUUCAGCAGUGAGGAAAGGUUAUAAGUUAAUACCUUAUAACUGUAACGUUAACUGCAGAAGAAGCACCGGCUAACUCCGUGCCAGCAGCCGCGGUAAUACGGAGGGUGCGAGCGUUAAUCGAAAUUACUGGGCGUAAAGCGCGCGUAGGUGGAUUGGUCAGUCAGAUGUGAAAGCCCAGGGCUCAACCUUGGAACUGCACCUGAUACUGCCAGUCUAGAAUACGG
RNAcentral lists this ribosomal RNA (550 nucleotides) under uncultured bacterium. RNAcentral describes it as "bacterial SSU rRNA". It matches the Rfam family "Bacterial small subunit ribosomal RNA", at positions 105 to 651 of the family's 1533-position model. The record is from RNAcentral.